UGGGGAAUAUUGCACAAUGGGCGAAAGCCUGAUGCAGCGACGCCGCGUGAGGGAUGACGGCCUUCGGGUUGUAAACCUCUUUCAGCAGGGACGAAGCGCAAGUGACGGUACCUGCAGAAGAAGCACCGGCUAACUACGUGCCAGCAGCCGCGGUAAUA
This 158-nucleotide ribosomal RNA is filed under the name uncultured Rhodococcus sp. Its description in RNAcentral is "partial 16S ribosomal RNA". It matches the Rfam family "Bacterial small subunit ribosomal RNA", at positions 355 to 525 of the family's 1533-position model. Lineage: Bacteria; Bacillati; Actinomycetota; Actinomycetes; Mycobacteriales; Nocardiaceae. The record is from RNAcentral.